RNAcentral lists this non-coding RNA (152 nucleotides) under Mycobacterium sp. The record is from RNAcentral. Lineage: Bacteria; Bacillati; Actinomycetota; Actinomycetes; Mycobacteriales; Mycobacteriaceae.
AGAGGGAACCCGGUGAGAAUCCGGGACUGUCCCGCAGCGGUAUGCAGGAACGACCGCCGUCUUAGAAGUUAACAAGCACUGGCCCCGAGGGGCUGGGAAGCGACGGCCACUAGGAGCGCCCCCCGGGCGCGGGCCUGCGAGUCCGAAGACCU